Molecule: ribosomal RNA, 495 nt
Filed under: uncultured bacterium
Lineage: Bacteria
Description: partial 16S ribosomal RNA
Rfam family: Bacterial small subunit ribosomal RNA
Source: RNAcentral
GACGAACGCUGGCGGCGUGCCUAAUACAUGCAAGUAGAACGCUGAAGGAGGAGCUUGCUCUUCUGGAUGAGUUGCGAACGGGUGAGUAACGCGUAGGUAACCUGCCUGGUAGCGGGGGAUAACUAUUGGAAACGAUAGCUAAUACCGCAUAAUAGUAGAUGUUGCAUGAUAUUUACUUAAAAGGUGCAAUUGCACCACUACCAGAUGGACCUGCGUUGUAUUAGCUAGUUGGUGGGGUAACGGCUCACCAAGGCGACGAUACAUAGCCGACCUGAGAGGGUGAUAGGCCACACUGGGACGGAGACACGGCCCAGACUCCUACGGGAGGCAGCAGUAGGGAAUCUUCGGCAAUGGACGAAAGUCUGACCGAGCAACGCCGCGUGAGUGAAGAAGGUUUUCGGAUCGUAAAGCUCUGUUGUAAGAGAAGAACGAGUGUGAGAGUGGAAAGUUCACACUGUGACGGUAUCUUACCAGAAAGGGACGGCUAACUACGUG